AUUUACAAUCACUAAUUAUAUGGAACAUUACACUCCAACGAGGUUAAACACCUCAAAACGAGCGUUUGGAGUGACCCGGGUGACAUCUUCGGACGUAUAAUGGCACUAGGGACUUAGGAUUUGAGUUUACUCCCCAAGAGUAAACAUUUUAUGGAGUUUACGGCCAUAUAACACACACAUACAUGAGUUCACGGCCGUGAACUCAUGUGGGUGUGAUUUUGAGGGUUUAAUGGCUUGAAUGGACAUGGGGUAUGUUGGAAUGAACUUCUAAAAUGCCUUAGAUUAAUUUGUUUGGAUUAAUACCAUUUAAAAGGGAUUUCACGGCUGUAAACUUGGAGUUUACGGCCGUAAACUCUCCUAUGGUCAAGAGAAAAUUGAUUUGAGGCACUUAGAGCAAUCACAUGUGAUUCUAGUUAAUUUUCCAAGCCUUAGGGUGGUUUAAGAGCAUCAUUUGGCACACUUUUAUGAGUUUACGGCCUAUGAGUAUGUGCUAUGGCCGUAAACUCCUAAAUGUGGUGUUUUGAUAUGUUUAAAGCCUCCAAACUAAUUUUAGAUGGUUCUAUGAUUUAUUCCAAGGCUAUUGGUUGAGUUUCAAGGCAUUCUAACAUGUUAAAUGGUGUUUACUCCCCAUGUUUGAGGAGUUUACGGCCCAAUCACAUGCCUUGGCCAUAAACUCUCUUUUGUCCCUCAAAGUUUAAGAUUUAAGUGUUUCAAGUCCCGAUUUGUAAGUCUCAAAGUCAUAUCUAAGUCCCAACAAUGAUUUGGUAGGGUUAAUUGGCUUAAAAACCCCAUUUUUAAGUGUUUACGGCCCAAGCUUGAUCUUUGGCCGUAAACACAUGUUUUAUGUCCUAAAAUCAAAUUAAACAUCAAUUUGAAGGCUAAAGAGGUUAGAUAACAAGUUAGGGAUGUUACCUCUUUGAUUUGGAGCCUUAAAUCUUUGUUUUUGGACCUUUGAUUAUGGAUGAGGAGAGAGGUUGGAGAGUGAUUAAGGAAAGAUGGCCAAAAGCUUCAAAUGAAAGCUUUGAGUCCUUUAUAUAGUGCUCGGGAAUUGGACACGACGGAAUUCUACCCGAUACCGACGUUAGGCGGGGCUUUUGGUCGCACCCGAUCAAGUUGCCAUAACCCGAUAUUGUCGAUUCUAGAAUUAUUCCGAUAACUAAUAUGGGGCGUUAGAAUGAUUUCAAAUGGCAUUAAGACACCCAUUAAGUCAUUNAGUGGUUUAAGAGCAUCAUUUGGCACACUUUUAUGAGUUUGCGGCCUAAGAGUAUGUGCUAUGGCCGUAAACUCCUAAAUGUGGUGUUUUGAUAUGUUU
Molecule: long non-coding RNA, 1312 nt
Filed under: Lactuca sativa (garden lettuce)
Lineage: Eukaryota; Viridiplantae; Streptophyta; Magnoliopsida; Asterales; Asteraceae
Description: long non-coding RNA (LSAT_LNC001428)
Source: RNAcentral